GACGAACGCUGGCGGCGUGCUUAACACAUGCCAGUCGAACGGAAAGGCCCUGCUUUUGUGGGGUGCUCGAGUGGCGAACGGGUGAGUAACACGUGAGUAACCUGCCCUUCACUUUGGGAUAACUUCAGGAAACUGGGGCUAAUACCGGAUAGGAGCUCCUGCUGCAUGGUGGGGGUUGGAUAGUUUCGGCGGUUGGGGAUGGACUGGCGGCUGAUCAGCUUGUUGGUGGGGUAGUGGCUUACCAAGGCUUUGCCGGGUAGCCGGCCUGGGAGGGUGACCGGCCACAUUGGGACUGAGAUACGGCCCAGACUCCUACGGGAGGCAGCAGUGGGGAAUAUUGCACAAUGGGAGGAAGCCUGAUGCAGCACCGCCGCGUGCGGGAUGACGGCCUUCGGGUAGUAAACCGCUUCCGCCUGUGACGAAGCGUGAGUGACGGUAAUGGGAAAAGAAGCACCGGCUAACUACGUG
Molecule: ribosomal RNA, 468 nt
Filed under: uncultured bacterium
Lineage: Bacteria
Description: partial 16S ribosomal RNA
Rfam family: Bacterial small subunit ribosomal RNA
Source: RNAcentral